CAGCAGCCGCGGGAAUACGUAGGUGGCAAGCGUUGUCCGGAAUUAUUGGGCGUAAAGGGCUCGCAGGCGGUUUCUUAAGUCUGAUGUGAAAGCCCCCGGCUCAACCGGGGAGGGUCAUUGGAAACUGGGAAACUUGAGUGCAGAAGAGGAGAGUGGAAUUCCACGUGUAGCGGUGAAAUGCGUAGAGAUGUGGAGGAACACCAGUGGCGAAGGCGACUCUCUGGUCUGUAACUGACGCUGAGGAGCGAAAGCGUGGGGAGCGAACAGGAUUAGAGACCCGAGUAGUCCCUGUCUCUUAUAA
This 301-nucleotide ribosomal RNA is filed under the name uncultured bacterium. RNAcentral's name for it is "partial 16S ribosomal RNA". It matches the Rfam family "Bacterial small subunit ribosomal RNA", at positions 509 to 809 of the family's 1533-position model. The record is from RNAcentral.